This 1538-nucleotide ribosomal RNA is filed under the name uncultured bacterium. Its description in RNAcentral is "bacterial SSU rRNA". It matches the Rfam family "Bacterial small subunit ribosomal RNA". The record is from RNAcentral.
UGAGAGUUUGAUCCUGGCUCAGGAUGAACGCUGGCGGCGUGGAUAAGGCAUGCAAGUCGAGCGAGACUUCGGUCUAGCGGCGAACGGGGUAGUACAAAGUAGGAACGUGCCUGUAACUCUGGGAUAACUCCGAGAAAUCGGAGCUAAUACCAGAUAGUCCCGCAAGGGUAAAGUUUCGGCGGUUACAGAUCGGCCUACUCCCCAUCAGCUAGUUGGUGAGGUAAUGGCUUACCAAGGCUAUGACGGGUAGGGGACGUGAGAGCGUGACCCCCACCACUCGCACUGAGAUACUGGCGAGACACCUACGGGUGGCUGCAGUCGAGAAUCUUCGGCAAUGGGCGCAAGCCUGACCGAGCGACGCCGCGUGCAGGAGGAAGCCCUUCGGGGUGUAAACUGCUUUUAUGAGGGAACAAGACUUCGGUUUGAGUGUACCUCAUGAAUAAGGGGCUGCUAACUCUGUAACUGCUAAUAGGCCAGCAGCAGCGGUAAUACAGAGGCCCCGAGCGUUAUCCGGAAUCAUUGGGCGUAAAGGAUCCGUAGGCGGCGUUGUAAGUUGCCUGUUAAAUACCCCGGCUCAACCGGGGAAGUGCAGGCAAAACUGCAAUGCUUGAGCGUGUGAGAGGCUGAUGGAACGCAUAGAGUAGGGAUGAAAUCCGUUGAUACUAUGCGGAACACCAAAGGCGAAGGCAUUCAGCUGGCACACCGCUGACGCUGAGGGAUGAAAGCCUGGGGAGCGAAACGGAUUAGAUACUGACCCGUGUAGUCCAGGCCCUAAACGAUGUCGACUAGUCAUGUGGAGUGUCGACCCUCCACGUGGCGUAGCUAACGCGUUAAGUCGACCGCCUGGGAAUUACGAUCGCAAGAUUAAAACUCAAAGGAAUAGACGGGGACCCGUACAACCGGUGGAGCGUCUGGUUUAAUUCGACAAUAAGCGAAGAACCUUACCACGGCUUGACAUGCUCUAGAAAGCUUCUGGAAACAGGAGCCCUCCUUACGGACUGGAAGCACAGGUGCUGCAUGGUUGUCGUCAGCUCGUAUCGUGAGACGUUCCGUUAAGUCGGGUAACGAGCGCUACCCCUGCUGUCUGUUAUAAGUGUCAGACAGGACUGCCGACUCUACGUCGGAGGAAGGCGGGGAUGACGUCAAAUCAGCAUGGCCCUUACGUCGUGGGCGACACAGGCGCUACAAUGGGUGGGACAAUGGGUUGCCAAACCGCAAGGUGGAGCUAAUCCCAUCAAACCCAUCCUCAGUUCAGAUUGGGGUCUGCAAUUCGACCCCAUGAAGUCGGAAUCGGUAGUAAUCGCGGAUCAGCCACGCCGCGGUGAAUACGUUCUCGGGUCUUGUACUCACAUUACACAACGCGUCGGGCAGUUUGUCAAACACGCCCGUCAACUCAGGAAAGUCAGCAAUACCCGAAGCACCUCCGAUAACAGGAGGUUCGAAGGUAAGGUUGAUGAUCAGGAGUAAGUCGUAAGGCGACAUAGGGAGAAUCAUGAACAAGGUGUCCCUAGGGGAAUCUGGGGAUGGAUCACCUCCUU